GGCAAGGGGACCGUGCCCUGCCCAGGGGCGGGCAGCACCCACAGACCCAGCAGCGCCUGGGUUUCUACCUGGCUUUCCGCAUCCGACAGCCUCCACAAGGCCCCAGUGAAUGCUGAGAAGCCUUUCUCGCCCUCCCCACUCAACCUAACACCAAAUGAAGGACAUACAAGUCUUCUAAUUCAAUAAUCCGGUUUCAAGCCCAAAAGCAAGAAUAACCGAUAAGCCAGGAGGAAUUGUCGAG
This 241-nucleotide long non-coding RNA is filed under the name Sus scrofa (pig). RNAcentral's name for it is "lncRNA (ENSSSCG00040051769.1)". The record is from RNAcentral. Lineage: Eukaryota; Metazoa; Chordata; Mammalia; Artiodactyla; Suidae.